CAUGAGUAAAGUGGCGCACGGGUGAGUAACACGUGACUAACCUACCCUUGAGUGGGGAAUAACCUAGAGAAAUCUGGGCUAAUACCGCAUAACACCUACGGGUCAAAGGAGCAAUUCGCUUAAGGAGGGGGUCGCGGCAGAUUAGCUAGUUGGCGGGGUAAUGGCCCACCAAGGCGGUGAUCUGUAUCCGGCCUGAGAGGGCGCACGGACACACUGGAACUGAAACACGGUCCAGACUCCUACGGGAGGCAGCAGUGGGGAAUUUUGCGCAAUGGGGGAAACCCUGACGCAGCAACGCCGCGUGGAGGAUGAAGUCCCUUGGGACGUAAACUCCUUUCGAUCGGGACGAUUAUGACGGUACCGAGAGAAGAAGCCCCGGCUAACUUCGUGCCAGCAGCCGCGGUAAUACGAGGGGGGCGAGCGUUGUUCGGAAUUAUUGGGCGUAAAGGGUGCGUAGGCGGUUCGGUAAGUCUUAUGUGAAAUCUUCGGGCUCAACUCGAAGUCUGCAUGAGAAACUGCCGGGCUUGAGUGUGGGAGAGGUGAGUGGAAUUUCCGGUGUAGCGGUGAAAUGCGUAGAUAUCGGAAGGAACACCUGUGGCGAAAGCGGCUCACUGGACCACAACUGACGCUGAUGC
Molecule: ribosomal RNA, 635 nt
Filed under: Acidipila sp.
Lineage: Bacteria; Pseudomonadati; Acidobacteriota; Terriglobia; Terriglobales; Acidobacteriaceae
Description: bacterial SSU rRNA
Rfam family: Bacterial small subunit ribosomal RNA
Source: RNAcentral